GGCCUCCUGGUGCUUGCCACAGACUGUGUUCUUACACUGACUGCACAGAAAGAGGGAAAGUAAACCUAUUCCACAAACACUUCAGCACAGGCCCUGUGCCUGGUCCGGAUUGUGAAUGGAGAGGCAUGG
Molecule: small nucleolar RNA, 129 nt
Filed under: Castor canadensis (American beaver)
Lineage: Eukaryota; Metazoa; Chordata; Mammalia; Rodentia; Castoridae
Description: Small nucleolar RNA SNORA51 (ENSCCNG00000014021.1)
Rfam family: Small nucleolar RNA SNORA51
About the family: ACA51 is a member of the H/ACA class of snoRNA that guide the sites of modification of uridines to pseudouridines.
Source: Rfam by way of RNAcentral